CCAAGGAGUCUAGCAUGUGCGCGAGUCAUGGAGCUCGUACGAACCUCAAAGGCGCAAUGAAAGUGAAUGCGUACCUACGUGCGCACAGGCGGGAUCGGUCGCCGUUCGCGGCGCCCGCGCACCGCCGGCCCGUCUUGGCCCCAUCGCGGGCGAGGCGGAGCAAGAGCGCACACGCUGGGACCCGAAAGAUGGUGAACUAUGUCUGAGUAGGGCGAAGUCAGAGGAAACUCUGAUGGAGGCCCGCAGCGAUUCUGACGUGCAAAUCGAUCGUCAAACUUGGAUAUAGGGGCGAAAGACUAAUCGAACCAUCUAGUAGCUGGUUCCCUCCGAAGUUUCCCUCAGGAUAGCUGGCACUGACCGUACGCAGUUUUAUCCGGUAAAGCGAAUGAUUAGAGGCCUUGGGGACUUAGCGUCCUCAACCUAUUCUCAAACUUUAAAUGGGUAAGAAGGGCCACUCGCUCAACACACAUCGUGGAGCGGCCCCUCGAAUGCRUAGUGCCAAGUGGGCCACUUUUG
Molecule: ribosomal RNA, 516 nt
Filed under: Turtonia minuta
Lineage: Eukaryota; Metazoa; Mollusca; Bivalvia; Venerida; Turtoniidae
Description: eukaryotic LSU rRNA
Rfam family: Eukaryotic large subunit ribosomal RNA
Source: RNAcentral